AUUGAACGCUGGCGGCAGGCCUAACACAUGCAAGUCGAGCGGAUGAAGGGAGCUUGCUCCUGGAUUCAGCGGCGGACGGGUGAGUAAUGCCUAGGAAUCUGCCUGGUAGUGGGGGAUAACGUCCGGAAACGGGCGCUAAUACCGCAUACGUCCUGAGGGAGAAAGUGGGGGAUCUUCGGACCUCACGCUAUCAGAUGAGCCUAGGUCGGAUUAGCUAGUUGGUGGGGUAAAGGCCUACCAAGGCGACGAUCCGUAACUGGUCUGAGAGGAUGAUCAGUCACACGGGAACUGAGACCGGGUCCAGACCCCUAGGGAGGGCAGGAGGGGGGAAUUUGGGAAAAGGGGGGAAAGCCUGAUCCAGCCAUGCCGGGGGUGGGAAGAAGGUCUUCGGAUUGAAAAGCCCUUUAAGUUGGGAGGAAGGGCAGUAAGUUAAAACCUUGCUUUUUUGACGUUACCAACAAAAAAAGCACCGGCUAACUUCGU
This 483-nucleotide ribosomal RNA is filed under the name uncultured bacterium. RNAcentral describes it as "partial 16S ribosomal RNA". It matches the Rfam family "Bacterial small subunit ribosomal RNA", at positions 29 to 506 of the family's 1533-position model. The record is from RNAcentral.